CCUACGGGUGGCUGCAGUGGGGAAUAUUGGACAAUGGGCGAAAGCCUGAUCCAGCCAUGCCGCGUGUGUGAAGAAGGCCUUCGGGUUGUAAAGCACUUUCAGUGGGGAAGAAAGCCUUGGGGCUAAUACCCUCGAGGAAGGACAUCACCCACAGAAGAAGCACCGGCUAACUCCGUGCCAGCAGCCGCGGUAAUACGGAGGGUGCGAGCGUUAAUCGGAAUUACUGGGCGUAAAGCGCGCGUAGGCGGUCUGAUAAGCCGGUUGUGAAAGCCCCGGGCUCAACCUGGGAACGGCAUCCGGAACUGUCAGGCUAGAGUGCAGGCGAGGAAGGUAGAAUUCCCGGUGUAGCGGUGAAAUGCGUAGAGAUCGGGAGGAAUACCAGUGGCGAAGGCGGUCUUCUGGACUGACACUGACGCUGAGGUGCGAAAGCGUGGGUAGCAAACAGGAUUAGAUACCCCAGUAGUC
This 465-nucleotide ribosomal RNA is filed under the name Vreelandella stevensii. RNAcentral's name for it is "partial 16S ribosomal RNA". It matches the Rfam family "Bacterial small subunit ribosomal RNA", at positions 338 to 795 of the family's 1533-position model. Lineage: Bacteria; Pseudomonadati; Pseudomonadota; Gammaproteobacteria; Oceanospirillales; Halomonadaceae. The record is from RNAcentral.